UAUAAAUACCUAAAUAUGGUGCUCAAGGAACAUUGUGAAAGAAAGGAAAAUUUACAAUAGGGAAUGAAAAUUUCCUGUGUAAAACUGAAAUAUCUAUAUCUCUGGUAAUUGAUUUAUCUUACCCUAAGGAUGAAAUUUGACAAAAAGGCAGGAUGAUCAACUCAGCAAAACAAAAAAUUUAGAUAAACUAAAAAAUGGCCAAAACUGAUAAGAGUGAAAAAUAAACAGACA
Molecule: long non-coding RNA, 231 nt
Filed under: Mytilus galloprovincialis (Mediterranean mussel)
Lineage: Eukaryota; Metazoa; Mollusca; Bivalvia; Mytilida; Mytilidae
Source: RNAcentral